Molecule: ribosomal RNA, 513 nt
Filed under: uncultured bacterium
Lineage: Bacteria
Description: partial 16S ribosomal RNA
Rfam family: Bacterial small subunit ribosomal RNA
Source: RNAcentral
GACGAACGCUGGCGGCGUGCUUAACACAUGCAAGUCGAACGAAAAGAGGGAAAGAGCUUGCUCUUUCCGGAAUUGAGUGGCAAACGGGUGAGUAACACGUAAACAACCUGCCUUCAGGAUGGGGACAACUGACGGAAACGACUGCUAAUACCGAAUAAGUUCCAAGGGCCGCAUGGCCCAUGGAAGAAAAGGUGGCCUCUACCUGUAAGCUAUCGCCUGAAGAGGGGUUUGCGUCUGAUUAGCUGGUUGGAGGGGUAACGGCCCACCAAGGCGACGAUCAGGAGCCGGUCUGAGAGGAUGAACGGCCACACUGGAAUUGAGACACGGUCCAGACUCCUACGGGAGGCAGCAGUGGGGAAUCUUCCGCAAUAGGCGAAAGCCUGACGGAGCAACGCCGCGUGAGUGAUGACGGCCUUCGGGUUGUAAAACUCUGUGAUCCGGGACGAAAAGGCAGAGUGCGAAGAACAAACUGCAUUGACGGUACCGGAAAAGCAAGCCACGGCUAACUACGUG